Molecule: ribosomal RNA, 384 nt
Filed under: Ascaphus truei (coastal tailed frog)
Lineage: Eukaryota; Metazoa; Chordata; Amphibia; Anura; Ascaphidae
Description: partial 16S ribosomal RNA
Source: RNAcentral
CACAGCUCUAUCACUAUUAACCCUAACAAUACCUAUAACUUUCUCCUAACCCACCCCCUAUACUGAGCAGAUCUAUUGAAAAUAGAAUAAUUAAUGCUAGAAUUAGUAACAAGAAACACAUUUCUCCGAAUGUAAGUGUAAAUCAGAUUGAAUAAAUCACCGAUACUUAACGACCCUUCCGAAGAGAUUAUAAUAACCCCUACAAGAAAAGCCUAUAAUAUUAACCGUUAACCUAACACAAGAACAUUUAAAGAAAGAUUAAAAGACAUUGAAGGAACUCGGCAAACUAGACCCUCGCCUGUUUACCAAAAACAUCGCCUCUUGCCCCACAAGUAUAAGAGGUCCAGCCUGCCCAGNGACUUCAUGNUCAACGGCCGCGGUAUU